AGUGAACGCUGGCGGUAGGCCUAACACAUGCAAGUCGAACGGCAGCACAGUAAGAGCUUGCUCUUACGGGUGGCGAGUGGCGGACGGGUGAGGAAUAAAUCGGAAUCUACUUUUUCGUGGGGGAUAACGUAGGGAAACUUACGCUAAUACCGCAUACGACCUACGGGUGAAAGCAGGGGAUCUUCGGACCUUGCGCGAUUGAAUGAGCCGAUGUCGGAUUAGCUAGUUGGCGGGGUAAAGGCCCACCAAGGCGACGAUCCGUAGCUGGUCUGAGCGGAUGAUCGGCCACACUGGAACUGAGACACGGUCCAGACUCCUACGGGAGGCAGCAGUGGGGAAUAUUGGACAAUGGGCGAAAGCCUGAUCCAGCCAUACCGCGUGGGUGAAGAAGGCCUUCGGGUUGUAAAGCCCUUUUGUUGGGAAAGAAGAGCAGCAGGUUAAUACCCCGCUGUUCUGACGGUACCCAAAGAAUAAGCACCGGCUAACUUCGUG
Molecule: ribosomal RNA, 492 nt
Filed under: uncultured bacterium
Lineage: Bacteria
Description: partial 16S ribosomal RNA
Rfam family: Bacterial small subunit ribosomal RNA
Source: RNAcentral